AGUAAUAUGAAAGAAUGACUAGAGAGGAUAUUUUAGGGUAUCAAGAAGUCAAUGGUGAUGAGACUAAAGAUUUUAAAAAAGAGGAAAACAUUAAUGGAGCGAGGUGCUUGGUCAAGCAAGAGGAGGCAAGCUGGAUCAAAAAGGUUGUCGAUCACGCCAGGACCAAUGUGAACGUGAGCCUCAGGAGCCGUGGGUGGUUGUGGAAAAUGGCUGAGGGUCAUCUACUGCUUCCUCUUCUAUCAAAGGCAACCUCCUGAAGCAGAGGGGCAGUGGGAGAGGGAAGCUUCCUGUUUUGCUGUAAUUAGUUUCUUCUUCUUUAAUAUAUAAAAAUAC
Talpa occidentalis (Iberian mole) is the source of this 333-nucleotide long non-coding RNA. RefSeq lists it as uncharacterized. Lineage: Eukaryota; Metazoa; Chordata; Mammalia; Eulipotyphla; Talpidae. The record is from RefSeq and is a predicted model, not a curated record. The transcript has 3 exons.